RNAcentral lists this long non-coding RNA (1000 nucleotides) under Cottoperca gobio. RNAcentral describes it as "lncRNA (ENSCGOG00000019969.1)". The record is from RNAcentral. Lineage: Eukaryota; Metazoa; Chordata; Actinopteri; Perciformes; Bovichtidae.
UAGCAUAACUUUCUUUCGCUUCCACGUGUAGCUUGGAUGCUCCGAAGUUUUUUAGCUUAAACUGGAGUGGUUUUGGUCGGCUUUGUAUUUAAUUGCCACCAAUGGGACUCCUGAGCUGCAGAGUCCAGAGAAGCUGUCUCCUGUCUUCAGAUCUUUCCUGUCCCGUUGUCUGGAGAUGGACGUGGAGAAACGAGGAUCAGGCCGAGAACUGCUGCAGAUCCCUGAACUGUGGGAUUAUGGACUCCAAACCAUAAAAUGUUUUGAUAAGCCUGAGACAAUCGAGCCAGACCUGAGUUUGAACCUGCUUGGAGUACCAAAUGAGAUUGGUUUAUACCUCAUUUUCAAACAAGUUCAGUAAAGUAUUUAAAAAAACAUUUAUGAAAUGUGUCUUUUACCAGAUCAUGAUGUGGUGAAACCUACUCGUAUGGUACUCAACAGGUUGACACAUACUGAGUACAUGCAAAUACUUUUAACAGGCUGGAAUACACUGUUAUGUGGCUUUUUACCAGAACACACAUUCCAGUUAUUUAGGUAUAAUAUGAAUGAUUGACAAGUUUAAAAUGAAUGUGUGGAUAGUCAUGAAACCAACAACAUCUGACAUUAAAUAUCAUCCAUACAGUAUGUAAAUUAUUAUUAUUAUUAAAGGUGGACUUAAAUUGGCUUGUGUCUGGAUCACUUAAGGGGCCAACUGGGGGCCAGAGCUUCUGUUCUACCAGGGUCACAGUAGUACCAACAUACAAUGGACUCAGAUGCUCCCAGAGUAUUUUAAAUGAAAAGUCUUAACUUGUAGGUAGGGUUCGAACGGGUAAGAAGGCAAAAGUUAACAAAAACACUGGGAUCUUACAGCUGGACGGUUCACUGAAACAGAUUAUACACAAUGAGAGGAGGGUGAUAACGAGGGACAGGUGGCAGCAGGGCUAACGAGGGACAGGUGGAAAACACACAAGGGCAGGAAGUGAAGUAUCUGCAACAAGAGACAAAGGUGAGUAUAUCAAAAUAA